GAUAGCCUGUAAAGGGUCCCACAUGGAGCUUGCUAGGAAAAACAUGAUUUCCCCUCCUCUGCAGCCUGCUGACUCCAAGAACUGGUCUCCAGGGCAAGCCCUGAUGACCCCAGAAGCCUAUUGUAGUGAGGUGGGUGUUUGUCUCUACUCCCAAGUCACAAGCCCUAGGGCAAGAGGAAAUAGUCUCAAGUUGUGCCGGGGAAGAUUUAGAUUGGCUAUUAGGAAAAACGUCUUCACUGAAAAGGUUGUCAAGCAUUGGAACAGGCUGCAUGGGGAAGCGAUUGAGUCACUAUCUCUGGAGGCAUUUAAAAGACAUCUAAAUGUGGCACUUUGGAACAUGGUUUUAUGGUGGGCUUGUCAGUGUUAGGUUUGCGGUUGGACUCAGUGAUGUUAAAGGUCUUUUCCAACCUAAAUGAGUCUAUGUUUCUUUGUUAUCUACAGUAUUGUAGACCCUACUGAUUUCAGAAGGAUGGUUUCCAUGCAUUGGGAAGUCAUUUAUCAGAUCCCCUGCUUUAAUAAUGAGAAAACACUGAAGCAAAUCAGCCUCUGAAGAAGCAAUAUGCCGUCUCUUCUGCUCUUCAAGCCUUUUCACUUCUAUUGAGUUUGAAAAUACAAGAAAAGACAGAAACUCUGGGAUUAGCUUUGCAGAACUGGUGCAAACAAGAAGUGGCAGAUGGCUUCACUCUGUCAAGUAAAAGUUGUCCUUUUACACAUAAAUCUGUUUGGCCUCAGAGGAAAACAGGAAAACUAUUAAGGAAGGUUAAGUAGCUUUGCAAACCCUUACAAGUCUGAAGAUUUUCUUUAGAGUUACUGGAAAAGGGUUUGUAGAAACAGGAUGUUUCAUGUUUCCUUUCACUUCUUUUGAAGCUGCAGGGUGUCGGUGUGUUUCUUCCUCAGAUUUAAACUGUUUCUAUGCAAAUAAUGGCUUCACCCUUGCAUGUGUCUAGACUCCUAGCCCUGUGAGACAAGUGAAAUCCCUUUACAUGUACAAAUGGAGCAUUUCCUCAUCUGCACAACAGAUAUGAAGAUAAUACAGGUGGAUUCUUUCCUCAGUAUAUAUGAGGGGAAAAUGGAUGGAAAAAAAUAAAAGAAACUUGUGAGAAUUUUGA
Long non-coding RNA from Strigops habroptila (Kakapo), 1109 nucleotides. RefSeq lists it as uncharacterized. The record is from RefSeq and is a predicted model, not a curated record. The transcript is spliced from 2 exons. NCBI's taxonomy places the organism in Eukaryota, Metazoa, Chordata, Aves, Psittaciformes, Psittacidae.